Pistacia vera is the source of this 981-nucleotide long non-coding RNA. RefSeq lists it as uncharacterized. Lineage: Eukaryota; Viridiplantae; Streptophyta; Magnoliopsida; Sapindales; Anacardiaceae. The transcript has 2 exons. The record is from RefSeq and is a predicted model, not a curated record.
GAUGAGUAGGAGAGUAACAAAGUGGAGACAGAUGUGAGAAUGAGAAGAGAGAGGGAGAUGUACCAAAAAUAGAAUGAUCAUAAUUCAGGAGAGAAAGAAACGCAAAAAGAGGAACCAACCCCAUUGGUUUUUAUCAAAUUUUGUUCUUGCAGGCAGGCAAGCGGUUUAAAUGUGUGACAAGGACUGUGUGUAUGCGGUUGAAACGGUUUUAGCUUAUAAUCGCUUAGCGUGUGAGCAAAACUUUAAUCAUCCUCACCAUUACAUUUAUCAUUCUACCUUUUUUAUUCAAUUUAACUUCUAAUCUUCUAAGAAAGCUAACGGAAAUGGAGCAGGAGAACAGGAAGAGAGGAAGAGAAGAAUUGGGAGAGGAGAAGAAAGAGUUUUUUGUGAAGAAUGCAGCAAAGAAGCAAGGUGUUAAUUAUAAUGAUAGUGAGAGUUCCAUUGUAUCAUCGGAAAACCAUAUAGCAUUAGGAGUAUUUGAUUUUCCAUGGCUGCAUGAGCAUGACGAAGGAAUCAUAUCAAAAUUAUCAGACGAAUACUGGAAUUUCCAAGACAGCUUCUCCUCCUCACUGGAUGAAACCUGCACUCAAACAGAGGUUGCAUGUUUGUAUGAGAUUCCAACAUUUAACUCAUCAAUAAGUUUAAGUUUUCCAGACAGUAAGUUUGAGGAGAAUGUGGAUUGCAUUUGGAGUUUCCUCCUUAAUCAGCCGCUUCAACAGGGCGUACCUAAUGACUAGAAAACUUUUGCAAUCCAUGUAAACUAUAUAUUACUAUAAAAUAUUUAGAUAUUUGGUUGGUAUUAUAUUACAAAAUAGGCUGCCCUCACAAAGUAUGUUUUGGCAGAAUAGACUAAAACAGGCCUGAGGUAAAAAGUUUCUCUUUUGUUUACCAUUUUUGUUUUUGGUGUUCUGGGCAUUCUUUUGCCCACAGUUGCUUAUCUGCUAGAUGUGAAUGAUAUGUUAUUUGCAUAUUGUCACUCAA